Rattus norvegicus (Norway rat) is the source of this 62-nucleotide non-coding RNA. NCBI's taxonomy places the organism in Eukaryota, Metazoa, Chordata, Mammalia, Rodentia, Muridae. The record is from Rfam.
UGUAGCUUAUUUGGGGAAGUACAUGUCUGGUAUACAUGAGGUCCUGGGUUCAAUCCCCAGCA